AGAGUUUGAUCCUGGCUCAGAUUGAACGCUGGCGGCAGGCCUAACACAUGCAAGUCGAGCGGCAGCACGGGUACUUGUACCUGGUGGCGAGCGGCGGACGGGUGAGUAAUACCUAGGAAUCUGCCUGGUAGUGGGGGAUAACGUCCGGAAACGGACGCUAAUACCGCAUACGUCCUACGGGAGAAAGCAGGGGACCUUCGGGCCUUGCGCUAUCAGAUGAGCCUAGGUCGGAUUAGCUAGUUGGUGAGGUAAUGGCUCACCAAGGCUACGAUCCGUAACUGGUCUGAGAGGAUGAUCAGUCACACUGGAACUGAGACACGGUCCAGACUCCUACGGGAGGCAGCAGUGGGGAAUAUUGGACAAUGGGCGAAAGCCUGAUCCAGCCAUGCCGCGUGUGUGAAGAAGGUCUUCGGAUUGUAAAGCACUUUAAGUUGGGAGGAAGGGCCGUUACCUAAUACGUGAUUGUUUUGACGUUACCGACAGAAUAAGCACCGGCUAACUCUGUGCCAGCAGCCGCGGUAAUACAGAGGGUGCAAGCGUUAAUCGGAAUUACUGGGCGUAAAGCGCGCGUAGGUGGUUCGUUAAGUUGGAUGUGAAAUCCCCGGGCUCAACCUGGGAACUGCAUUCAAAACUGUCGAGCUAGAGUAUGGUAGAGGGUGGUGGAAUUUCCUGUGUAGCGGUGAAAUGCGUAGAUAUAGGAAGGAACACCAGUGGCGAAGGCGACCACCUGGACUGAUACUGACACUGAGGUGCGAAAGCGUGGGGAGCAAACAGGAUUAGAUACCCUGGUAGUCCACGCCGUAAACGAUGUCAACUAGCCGUUGGGAGCCUUGAGCUCUUAGUGGCGCAGCUAACGCAUUAAGUGACCGCCUGGGGAGUACGGUCGCAAGAUUAAACUCAAAGGAAUUGACGG
This 913-nucleotide ribosomal RNA is filed under the name Pseudomonas sp. RNAcentral's name for it is "bacterial SSU rRNA". It matches the Rfam family "Bacterial small subunit ribosomal RNA", at positions 8 to 916 of the family's 1533-position model. Lineage: Bacteria; Pseudomonadati; Pseudomonadota; Gammaproteobacteria; Pseudomonadales; Pseudomonadaceae. The record is from RNAcentral.